Ribosomal RNA from Lepisosteus oculatus (spotted gar), 119 nucleotides. The record is from Rfam. Lineage: Eukaryota; Metazoa; Chordata; Actinopteri; Semionotiformes; Lepisosteidae.
GCCAGCAGCCAUAUCACCCUGCAACUCACAACUGGCAACCCACUGAAGCUUAGCAGGUGUGAGCCUGGUCAGUACAUGGAUAGGAGACCUUCUGGGAGAAACUAAGGUUGCUGCUGGAA